Pelodiscus sinensis (Chinese soft-shelled turtle) is the source of this 484-nucleotide non-coding RNA. The record is from RefSeq and is a predicted model, not a curated record. NCBI's taxonomy places the organism in Eukaryota, Metazoa, Chordata, Testudines, Trionychidae.
CCUCAGAAGCUCAUUGGCCAGCUUUAUUGUUUGGCUAAAAAAAAGAACGAGGAGGUGUGUUUAGGAAAAAAGAACAAUGGGGGAGUUUUUGCAGUCCCCAUAAGCAUCAUCAGUGGAGUGGGAAGCCAUGGAGCAGCAACUGGAAUUCCCAGUUUCCCACUUGCUGCUCAGUCACUGACCUAAACCAGGCAUUAAACAUCUGAUGCAAACAAGCCCAUGAAUCAAAACUGUGUUGAAAUGAUCCGUGAUAUGCUGCUAACAAGGAAGCAAAAAGAAUAAUGAAUUGCCAUGUUUUGAAGUGAAAGCUGAUCUAGAGGACCACUUGGGACAAAAAAAAGCUAGAAUCAUGGAACAAUCUUAAAAAGAAGCAAGGACAGGGAAAGGAGAGAGGUCUUUAUUUACUAAGACUCCGCUAUUUUUACUACUUGUUACUGUUUAUUGCCCAUGGAGGAAGGCAUAUUGUAAAUAUGCGAAGAGAAUAUUA